GGUAAGAGAGAGAGAAAAAGAAUGAGUUUUAGGGUGGUAUGUCUGAGUCUGAAUUUUACAAAGUGCCCUCAAAAUGAUUUCUCCAUUUUACAGGAUUCUGAAUUCUCCUGGUUUUCCUCUUACCUCAACUGUUCAUUCUUUGUCAGUCUUGUUUGCUGGUUCUUUUUUAUCUGCUGGCUGAAACUGACCUGCCAGCAUUUCAGCUCAUCUAGCAAUUCCAUCUAAAGAAGAUAUCGGAGUUCUUGUCAGUCUACAAUAAAGUUGUCACUGUGCUUUCCUGAUUCCUUCAGGGAAACAUCUGCCUCCUUGAACCUCUCAUAAUGAAGCACUGUCAAAUUACUGAAGGACUACACAUCAUCCAAUAACUAACCUGGAAAGAUCACUUGCCAAUGGCUCCAUGCCACGACAAACAGAUGUUGUCUCUGUCACCUACCUGAAAAAGAGGUCAAAUGUUCCACAACAGACACACUCUGCUGUCCGCCUUGUGGAUAUACAUUAGUCAUUUAUUAAGCUUUUCGUUUUACCCUGGAUGAAAAUCAGAGGUAAUUUUCAGUUUAUUGAGUGACAUAUCAGAUCAUUUUAAAAGCAGACUUAUCUUUAGAGUAAUUAUGCAAUCGAAUCUGACUUCAAGAUUGGAGGACUGCAAAUAGCUUGUCAGAAUGCACGUCAAUUGGCCCUGCCUUUCACGUUCAUGACAGUUAUAUGAACACUAAUCAGUCUUGCCAAAAUAUACAAAAAUAAAUUUCAUAUUAAUAAA
Long non-coding RNA from Neofelis nebulosa (Clouded leopard), 757 nucleotides. RefSeq lists it as uncharacterized. The transcript is spliced from 2 exons. The record is from RefSeq and is a predicted model, not a curated record. Lineage: Eukaryota; Metazoa; Chordata; Mammalia; Carnivora; Felidae.